UAUAUAUUGAUUCUUUUUUUAUGUUCUUUUAUUUUUUCUAUUAAUUUAUAAAGUAAAUAAUUUUUAGUUUUUGAUAUAUUUAUUUUAAAUCACAUUUUUAAUUUUUCAUUUUUUUUUUUUAAGUACAUAUUUCUGCUUUAAAUUCAUAUAUUUUUCUUUUUUUUUUCUCUGCAUAAAUAUAUAUUUAUAUCUAUCUAUCUAUCUAUCUAUAUAUAUAUGUAUGUUUGUAUUUUUUUUUUUUUUUAUAGUAAAAAUAUUCAUACUAUUAAAUCUUUUUAUAAAUAUAGUCAUAACACAUUAGUUUAAUUUAUGUAUAGUGAUACGCAAUUACUUGUACAUACAAAGUUUUAUGUACGCGCUUUCUUAUUAAAUCAUUUAUAUGUAUAAAUAAUAAUAUAAUUGUAUGUUAUUAUAUGUGUACGUAAUUAUAUGCAUAUAUGUUAGUGUAUAUAUAUAUAUAUAUAUAUGUCAUUAGGGUAGUACAUUAUUUUAAUUAGAUACAUAAAUAUAUACAUGUACAGAUAGAUAUAUAACUACAUAUUGCACAUCUUUUGUAAAAAACAAAAAAUUUGUAACAAAAAUGUUAUACAAAACACAACUUUGUUCAUUCUAUGCAAAAGGAAUAUGUGCAAGAGGCAACAGAUGCAGUUGGGCUCAUGGGGAGUUGGAUGUUAGGCCUAUGCCUAAAUUUUACAAGACUAGGAUGUGUUAUACGUUUUUAUCUGGUAGUUACUGUGAAGCUUCUAAAUGUACGUUCGCACACACAGAAGAAGAAUUAAGAGGUUCAGGAAAAGCUUUGAGAUUAUGUACAAAGUAUUUUUUAGAUGGCUACUGCAAUAAAGCUGACAAAUGUCCUAUGGCUCAUAACAUAAAUCAACUAGACCCAUCAGUAAAAUUUUCAUCAAGUGAAUUAAUGAAUAAGGUUUAUUCUAAUGAGGAUAAUGUAUAUUAUAAUAAUAAUAAUAACCUUGACUUGCCAAAGAAUGAUAAUAAGGAAACUGAAGGAAAUGGUCGUAAAAACAGUAGUAGAAGCAGUAGUACACAUAACAAUAAUUACAACAUCCAUGGAGGAACUAAUAAUAAUAUAAGUCAUAAUAUCCAUAACUAUCACAAUAAUAAUAGUAGUAAUAAUGCAGUUUUUGAAAUUACGAACGAGUUAGAUGACGUUAAUGUAAAAAAGCAUUUAAAAGAUUACCAUAUUAUGAACAAUUUUAAUAAUAGUGAAAAUGACAAAAACGAUAUUGAUGAUCCAAAAAAGAAUAGUUAUAAGAUUUAUAGAAAUUGUGAGAAAAAAAUGUAUAAAGAUUAUUUAUUGGAUGACAACCAGACAAAUGAUUACUUUGAUGAAAUAAAAAAAGGAAAUGGUAAUUCGUUUGUUACUCUUUUUGUGCAUCUGCUGUGCAUAUAAUGAUCAAUUUGUACGUAUUUUUACGUAUUUUUACGUAUUUGUACGUAUUUUUACGUAU
This 1466-nucleotide long non-coding RNA is filed under the name Piliocolobus tephrosceles (Ugandan red Colobus). RNAcentral describes it as "lncRNA (ENSPTEG00000020382.1)". The record is from RNAcentral. Lineage: Eukaryota; Metazoa; Chordata; Mammalia; Primates; Cercopithecidae.